RNAcentral lists this ribosomal RNA (464 nucleotides) under uncultured bacterium. RNAcentral's name for it is "partial 16S ribosomal RNA". It matches the Rfam family "Bacterial small subunit ribosomal RNA", at positions 339 to 795 of the family's 1533-position model. The record is from RNAcentral.
CUACGGGAGGCUGCAGUGGGGAAUAUUGCACAAUGGGGGAAACCCUGAUGCAGCGACGCCGCGUGCGGGAAGAAGGCCUUCGGGUUGUAAACCGCUUUCAAUUGGGAAGAUGAGAUGAGAGUUAAUAGCUCUCUGAUUUGACGGUACCUUUAGAAGAAGCACCGGCUAAUUUCGUGCCAGCAGCCGCGGUAAUACGAAAGGUGCAAGCGUUGUUCGGAUUUACUGGGCGUAAAGAGAUCGUAGGUGGUUUGUUAAGUCGGAUGUGAAAUCCCGGGGCUCAACCUCGGAACUGCAUUCGAUACUGGCAGACUAGAGUUCGGGAGGGGUAAGCGGAAUUCCGUGUGUAGCAGUGAAAUGCGUAGAUAUACGGAGGAACACCUGAGGCGAAGGCGGCUUACUGGACCGAUACUGACACUGAGGAUCGAAAGCGUGGGUAGCAAACAGGAUUAGAUACCCGCGUAGUC